Non-coding RNA from Cricetulus griseus (Chinese hamster), 73 nucleotides. The record is from Rfam. Lineage: Eukaryota; Metazoa; Chordata; Mammalia; Rodentia; Cricetidae.
GGAGAGAUGGCUCAGUGGUCAAGAGCACUGGUUGUUCUUCCAGAGGACCUGGGUUCAAUUCCCAAUGCCUACA